RNAcentral lists this ribosomal RNA (1346 nucleotides) under uncultured bacterium. RNAcentral describes it as "bacterial SSU rRNA". It matches the Rfam family "Bacterial small subunit ribosomal RNA", at positions 28 to 1381 of the family's 1533-position model. The record is from RNAcentral.
GACGAACGCUGGCGGCGUGCUUAACACAUGCAAGUCGAACGGAAAGGCCCUGCUUUUGUGGGGUGCUCGAGUGGCGAACGGGUGAGUAACACGUGAGUAACCUGCCCUUGACUUUGGGAUAACUUCAGGAAACUGGGGCUAAUACCGGAUAGGAGCUCCUGCUGCAUGGUGGGGGUUGGAAAGUUUCGGCGGUUGGGGAUGGACUCGCGGCUUAUCAGCUUGUUGGUGGGGUAGUGGCUUACCAAGGCUUUGACGGGUAGCCGGCCUGAGAGGGUGACCGGCCACAUUGGGACUGAGAUACGGCCCAGACUCCUACGGGAGGCAGCAGUGGGGAAUAUUGCACAAUGGGCGGAAGCCUGAUGCAGCAACGCCGCGUGCGGGAUGACGGCCUUCGGGUUGUAAACCGCUUUCGCCUGUGACGAAGCGUGAGUGACGGUAAUGGGUAAAGAAGCACCGGCUAACUACGUGCCAGCAGCCGCGGUGAUACGUAGGGUGCGAGCGUUGUCCGGAUUUAUUGGGCGUAAAGGGCUCGUAGGUGGUUGAUCGCGUCGGAAGUGUAAUCUUGGGGCUUAACCCUGAGCGUGCUUUCGAUACGGGUUGACUUGAGGAAGGUAGGGGAGAAUGGAAUUCCUGGUGGAGCGGUGGAAUGCGCAGAUAUCAGGAGGAACACCAGUGGCGAAGGCGGUUCUCUGGGCCUUUCCUGACGCUGAGGAGCGAAAGCGUGGGGAGCGAACAGGCUUAGAUACCCUGGUAGUCCACGCUGUAAACGGUGGGUACUAGGUGUGGGGUCCAUUCCACGGGUUCCGUGCCGUAGCUAACGCUUUAAGUACCCCGCCUGGGGAGUACGGCCGCAAGGCUAAAACUCAAAGGAAUUGACGGGGCCCCGCACAAGCGGCGGAGCAUGCGGAUUAAUUCGAUGCAACGCGUAGAACCUUACCUGGGUUUGACAUGGAUCGGGAGCGCUCAGAGAUGGGUGUGCCUCUUUUGGGGUCGGUUCACAGGUGGUGCAUGGCUGUCGUCAGCUCGUGUCGUGAGAUGUUGGGUUAAGUCCCGCAACGAGCGCAACCCUUGUUCACUGUUGCCAGCACGUUAUGGUGGGGACUCAGUGGAGACCGCCGGGGUCAACUCGGAGGAAGGUGGGGAUGACGUCAAGUCAUCAUGCCCCUUAUGUCCAGGGCUUCACGCAUGCUACAAUGGCCGGUACAGAGAGUGGCGAGCCUGUGAGGGUGAGCGAAUCUCGGAAAGCCGGUCUCAGUUCGGAUUGGGGUCUGCAACUCGACCUCAUGAAGUCGGAGUCGCUAGUAAUCGCAGAUCAGCAACGCUGCGGUGAAUACGUUCCCGGGGCU